AGAUGGAGAUGUUUUGCAAUUGU
Molecule: microRNA, 23 nt
Filed under: Patiria miniata (bat star)
Lineage: Eukaryota; Metazoa; Echinodermata; Asteroidea; Valvatida; Asterinidae
Description: Pmi-Mir-92-o21_5p* (star (passenger))
Source: RNAcentral